Molecule: ribosomal RNA, 389 nt
Filed under: uncultured bacterium
Lineage: Bacteria
Description: bacterial SSU rRNA
Rfam family: Bacterial small subunit ribosomal RNA
Source: RNAcentral
AACGAACGCUGGCGGCAGGCCUAACACAUGCAAGUCGAACGGACCCUUCGGGGUCAGUGGCAGACGGGUGAGUAACGCGUGGGAAUCUACCCGGUUCUUCGGAAUAACCCAGGGAAACUUGGGCUAAUACCGGAUACGCCCUUAGGGGGAAAGAUUUAUCGGAAUUGGAUGAGCCCGCGUCGGAUUAGCUAGUUGGUGGGGUAAUGGCCUACCAAGGCGACGAUCCGUAGCUGGUCUGAGAGGAUGAUCAGCCACACUGGGACUGAGACACGGCCCAGACUCCUACGGGAGGCAGCAGUGGGGAAUAUUGGACAAUGGGCGCAAGCCUGAUCCAGCCAUGCCGCGUGAGUGAUGAAGGCCUUAGGGUUGUAAAGCUCUUUCAGCGGGGA